Molecule: transfer RNA, 62 nt
Filed under: Dipodomys ordii (Ord's kangaroo rat)
Lineage: Eukaryota; Metazoa; Chordata; Mammalia; Rodentia; Heteromyidae
Rfam family: tRNA
About the family: Transfer RNA (tRNA) molecules are approximately 80 nucleotides in length. Their secondary structure includes four short double-helical elements and three loops (D, anti-codon, and T loops). Further hydrogen bonds mediate the characteristic L-shaped molecular structure. tRNAs have two regions of fundamental functional importance: the anti-codon, which is responsible for specific mRNA codon recognition, and the 3' end, to which the tRNAs corresponding amino acid is attached (by aminoacyl-tRNA synthetases). tRNAs cope with the degeneracy of the genetic code in two manners: having more than one tRNA (with a specific anti-codon) for a particular amino acid; and 'wobble' base-pairing, i.e. permitting non-standard base-pairing at the 3rd anti-codon position.
Source: Rfam by way of RNAcentral
GGGAAUGUGGCUUAGUGGUAAAGUGCAUGCCUAGUAUGCAUGAAGCCCUGCAUUCAAUUCCU